Molecule: unclassified non-coding RNA, 477 nt
Filed under: Hevea brasiliensis (rubber tree)
Lineage: Eukaryota; Viridiplantae; Streptophyta; Magnoliopsida; Malpighiales; Euphorbiaceae
Source: RNAcentral
GGGGCGUGGUGGCAUUGGAGAAGAAAGAAGAUACACUAGUGUAUGGAUUUAGCCUGCUAAUUUAAUAAAGCACACAGUUUGUCCUUCCUGCAAAUUACUUUGUCUUGCUGAAAAAAGAUCACUUUGUUUUGGUUUGUGCAGAGACAAAGCAUACUCUUUUUAAGGGAAUUGCAUUUUCUAUAAUUUAAUCUGCUCGUUUCACUAUUUACUUACAACAAAGGAGCAGGCCUGUUGGUCAUUUUCUUUAAUAUACUCGCUCUUCAAAUCUUCAAUAAAAGCAAUAAAAUAGAUAUCCUGAAUCUUCAAUAAUUGAAACAAAUGUGGCUCUAAGAGUAACAGAGUCCUAGUAGCUGUAGAACUCUAGUUUGACCUUAAAGCCAUUGAAGAGUACAGUCACAAACAUUUUCAGCUCCCUUUUUUUACAAGUUUUAUUUGUCAUUUAAAUCUUAAAACAGAGAUUUUUUUCGGAGCUUCAAG